UACAUGAAUGCAGCUAGACUUUGUAUUAUGUUCAAAUCCAUGCAGUAGUGUUCUCUAAUAGAUUGUUUGAAAUGAAGGAUUCCCCAGAGGCAACCUGCUUACCACUGUGCAAAGAAGACCAGAGGAGGAGACUACUAUUUUUUUUUGACUUAAGCACAAAGAGCAAGAAGCCAGUAGAGUUGAGAGAUGAUGUAUCCAUUUCUGUGAGUUUCUGAUGGUGUCGUCCUGCUGUGAGGCAAAAAGUGAGAGAAGCCUUCCCUCCAGGAGAGCUGUCAGAAAUGGAAUAUUAUUACUGAGGCUGCCAGUGGCUUCCAUUAACUGGGCUGCACCUUGAGGUUUGCUAAUGAGUCUAGGAGGUGUUUGCUGACAUUGUUGAUGACUUGAAAGCAUGCUUUAAUGAUCUCUUUCCAUUGAUUGUGGAUGCUUUCCUCAUGCUCUGCUGGAACUAUGCUGUAUCCGUAUUUUUCACUUGGAAAUUUUCCUUUACCUAUUUAUAGAACGCUCAGAUACUGCUCUGGCAUCAUAUCUGCUUGAAUGCUGCUUCUUGCCAUUCUAGUAAUGUACCAAACCUCUGAUACUAUAACCAAGUCACAGGUCAAGACAAUCAUCCCUUUCAUAUCCUUGGUCAAGUGCAGGCAAGACAAUGGUAGGGACUACUUCUGGAUGAUGAAGCUGACUGCUGUAAAGGAUGAUCUACCCAAGUGUUUUGAUGAUGCGGCAACCAGAAGAAGAUAGACUUUCACAACCACGGGAUAGAAGCCAAGCACACUGCUCCCCUGGAUUCUGUGUCGGAAGGGUAAUACAAAGCCCAACCCACAUGCAAGAGGAGGGGUAUUAAUCUGCACUUUCAGAAAGCAGAACUGUCAAAGCCAUUGUGGAUGUAUUUUAAGGCUGAUGUAUUGGUGCAUUGUUUGUACUUCAAGAAAUUAAAGGGUUAAAAAAAUAAAAAAAGGUCAAAGACCUUUCAAACAGGAAAGGUUAACUUGCUGGCUGCGCAGAGAACGGAUCCACUUGAGAGGCUGAUAGCAUUCAUGUCCACGGGAAAGGCUAAGAUUUGAACUAACAGGAAAACAGAGAAUGUAGAGGACUGUCACCAGGCUCAGGGAUGGCAUUAUAGACAGAUGGCUCUAAGUUACUGCAGCUUUUUAAAAAUUGAUCAUUUUCCUGUACAACCUUUUCAUAUUAUUAAAGGCUACUGAAACUGUAAAACAAACAAACAAACAAACAAACAUGUAAAAUUAUAUUGAAAAGAGUCUGUAUGGUGGAAUAAGUUUUUAAAAGGUACAAACCUUUAUUGGUUAGAUUAUACUACAGAAGCUAGUAAUAUUGUGGGAAAAUGAGAAAUUGUAAACAUGUAGUUAUGAAAAUGAAGCAGUUACUCUCUUUAAGUAACUAAAACCAAAAACGCUACUUAUUGUAUUAUUUUUAAAUAACAGAUAAUUGAGUGUUUAGGAUCACAAAUAAAGUUAAAAAUUUAAAUAUAUGCCACCUAAGUUCCUAUGGAACUUAUAGAAAAAUAAAUUUAACUUGCAUAGCCGAAACUAAAAUAGAAUAGAAAUGUAAAACAAAACAAAAACUUCUUUUGUUUUCAGGGACAGAAUCUUGUGGUUUGUGAAGUGCUGGUGAUCUCUUGCUUCAGUGUACUGCUUUCUGGGAUUCCACAUGUGUGCUACUAUACCCAGCUCAGAAAGUUUUGAAAUAAAAUAAUACACGGCAGAAAGACAAUAGUAUACAAUGAAAAAUGUGUCACUUACACUUAAUUGAUUUUCAAAUUAAAUAUGAAAAGUAAUAUGAAGUGAGAAUAUUUUAUAAAAUUUGAUUUAGUUCUAAAACAAAGUGCAGCCUGAUCAUUUUGUAUGACCUUUGGUACUUCCUGUUCAUUUUUAAAAAUUAAUUAAUUAAUAUCCCAAAUGCUGCCCCUCUCCCCCAUCCACUGCUCAGAGUUCCUCAUCUCUUCUCUGGAGUGUUGGCCCACUCUCUAUGUUUUCCCCCACCCUGGCACAUCAAGGGUCUGCAGGGUUGGUGUAUCCUCUCUCACUGUGGCCGGACAAGCCAGCCCUGGUCCGCACAUGUAUGUUCUGUAGUUGAUGGCUCAGUCUCUGAGAGCUGCCAAGAGUCCAGAUUAGUUGACUCUGUUGGUUUUCCCGUGGAGUUCCUAGCCCCUUCAGGACCUUUACUCUUUCCCCCAAGUCUUUCAUAAGAGUCCCCGACUUCCAUCCAAAGUUUGGCUGAGGGUAUCUGCAUCUGUUUCAGUGACCUGCUGAGUGGAGUCUUUCGGAAGACAGUUAUGCUAGGUUACUGUCUGAAGUACAACAGAGUAUCAUUAGUGUCAGAGAUGGAUGCUUGCCCAUGGGAUCUGUUUGAGGUCAGGUUUGUCACUGGUCAGCCAUUUCUUCAGUUAUCUACUCCAUUUUUGACCCUACCUUGCUUUUAGACAAGACAAAUUGGGGGUCAAAAGUUUUGUGUGUUAGUGUCCCCAUUCCUCCACUGGGGGUCCUGCCUGGCUACAGAAGGUAAUCUCUUAUGGUUGCAUGUCCCCACUGUUAGGGGACAUGAAAUUAGGUCACUCGAAUUAACGAAUUAACUUCUGGGAUCCCUCCCCUUUCUCAGGUCUGGGAUUUUCCUAGAGAUUCUGUCUAUACCGCCCACGCCCACUCCUCAGCAGGUACAGGUUUCCAUUCAUUCUCCUGUCUCGCUGGCUCUCUCCCCUGUUUCUCCUCACACCUGAUUCUGAACCCUCAACCUCUCUUCCACCCAGUUUCCUUUCUUCCUUUGCCUCCUCUUGUCUGUGUACUGGAGGGAAUUGUGGAGACCUCUGGCAUGAGCAGAAAGGGCAUGACCGAGGGUGGGGGGGGUGCCACCACUGCUGCUGCUUUGGUGCCAUUUACCAGGCAGCUACUG
Molecule: small RNA, 2901 nt
Filed under: Rattus norvegicus (Norway rat)
Lineage: Eukaryota; Metazoa; Chordata; Mammalia; Rodentia; Muridae
Description: uncharacterized LOC108349981
Source: RNAcentral